CCCUUCCCUUAAAAGAAGUCUCACUGCCUGUUGGCUAGCUGGCAAAUGCAAUCUGCAACACCUGUGUGACAGAUAGGCACAGCUGUAAGCAUGCUGCUGUUGAUCCAUCUGUAGAAGGUACCACAUGCCAGUGUUUAUCUUAGAAUCUUUAGGAGUAGGGGGUGGGGGGAAAUCAUGUAUUACACCGUUAAGGUUUCUUUUUUCCCCACCGUUCAUCUUUUAUUUUCCCUCUCAUGUUGGUGUUUCCCCCUCCUUCUUACUAUGACUGUGUUAGUGAAUACUAAUGAGACAAUACAACCCAAGACAAUCACUGAUUGAGUGAAUAAAUUCACUGGGUACUGAACACCUGUGACCUAACUAACAAGGCAAGUUGAAGCCGGCUUACCUGAUUACAGCUAAGUAUUUUGGUUAGCACCUCUGGGUUUCCAUCUCUAAUUGCUGGUAAUGAUAACACUUGAAUCAUAAUUUGAUGGUCUGUAGGUUUCUCAGCUGUUUCUUCCCAUGCAAAAUAGAUAAUGGAAUAUUUUGCCCAUGACACUGAGUCUAUAUUUUGUAUGCGAUACAUCAGCAUUGUGUAAAUUUUAUGAACAACUUCUAUUAUCUUUGAAGCCACAGAAACAACAAACAGUUAUAAUUAUAGUCUGAAGAUGCUGUAGCGUUUCAAAUAUGCCUACAGUAGUGGUAUUACAAUGAAAAUGUUCUGUUUGCCUGCAGCUUUCACUGUGCUCAAUGACAUCACAAUUAUGCUGUAUUUGAGUUGAAACUUCUGUCCUUAAACAGAAACAGCUUGUCUGAAACCUUUUAGGUCUUCCUUCUAAUUUCUUCUGAUUCUUCCUUGAGUUAAAACAGUCAAAAUGGUGAAUACAGUAGGAUAGUGCAUUUUUACAGGCUUUGUGUCUGGGCUUGCUAACAGUAAGUUAUAGGUACUUUGUGUGGUUGUAUUUGGGAAAUGAAUGCAUGUUAUUUAAAACCUCUUUAUGUGCAUCUGCUACUUGUCAACUUGUGAUCUUCUGAUCCUUGAGUAUUUGGCAACCCUGUGAUUUGUGAUAAUGGAAUUACAAAAAAAAAAAGUAAUCAACAAAGACAGUACAUUAUAAAUGUGCAAAGCAAGACUUAAGAUGUUUGAAGAAAAAUGAGCUUUAGAAAGGAGGUAAUGGUAUUGAAGAAAUACUUGAAAAGUGCAAGCCUUUGGAAACAACCACAUAUCUUUAAAUAUGCAGUCAAAUGUAAACAUACCUGAGCCAGAUCCUCAGAUGCUGUAAAUUACUGUAGCUCCAUUGACAUCAAUGAAGCUGUGAUGAUUUAUAGAAAACAUUUAUUUUCUUUACCUCUCUGUUUUAAAGUGAGUUUUGUAUUUCCUAACACUUGUUCAUAAACAUCAAACUAGGAUCAGUUCUAGUCCCCAGUGGAUAUUUGUUCAAAUAGCACAAAAUUGCUGCAGUCUAGAUCCUCAAAAAUCAAUGGGAGUUAGGCACCUAAAUACCUUUGCAGACCUGAUAAUCUGUUCCAGAGAGAUCCCCUGCUAGAAUAGCUGGGUGGUUGUGUAGGUGAGAAUAGCCCUGUGUGGUGUCAAAGUAACCAAUGAAAACAAUAGUGAUGGUAUAAUGAUUGAAUAAUGGAGCACAGGGCAGUACAGUAAGAAAUCAGCAGAGUGAGUAAACAGCUGACCGCCAUGUAAUAAUCACUGUGAUUUUGCAGCGGUUUGUCUUUAACACAAUGGAGAGACAUGGUCUGCUGAUUAAAGCACAAAUGUGAAAGUCAGGUGAUAUGAGUUGUAAUGCUGGCACUGCCCCAGACUUACUGAAUGACCUUGGUAAAGCCACUUAACUUUUCUGUGUCUCAGUGUCUCCAUCUGUAAAGGAGGGAUAAUAAAGAACUGAUGUGAGCUUUAAUUCAUGAAGGCUUGUAAGAUGCUUUGAGAUCCUCUGAUGGAAAAACUGUCUUGAGAAAAGCAAAUUACUGGGACUAGAUCCUCAGCUGGUGUAAAUCAGCAUCAUUACAUUGAAAUCAAUGGAUUUACCCCAGCUGGAGCAAACCAGAUUUACAAUUUAAGGAUCUGCCCCUUUAUAUUUACCGGGAGCUAGGAAAUUGCUACCUCACUUUCAGGAAAGAUUCUUCCUGCGAGCACAUUGAUACUAGCAGAGGACCCCAAGUUUAUGCUAUAUGUCCCCAGCUAUGAGGAAUUGUAAAGGCAAACUGUAGUUCAAUGUCAAAAUAUCUGCUAGCUCUUGUAUGGAAAAAGUGGAAAGCAAGUUAGAAGUCUUGGGUUACCUUUGAUUUUGCUGGCAAGGACAGAGUUAAAUUGGUGUAACUCUCACUAUGGAGGCUGUUCUAGUGAGAUAAAAGUGGAAACAUCUGUACAGCUUCUGUUGGUAACUUUACAGAACUGAUAUAGUAAAAUUAGUGCAAAUAUUGCACAUAGACCAGACCGAAAACUUAAAACGAAUGGACCCUCUUCUUAGAGCUUCUUUAUAUACAAACUGGAGCCAAUUAAACUAAACCAGUAUAGUUAAAUUGUGGAAUCCCCUGUGCAACUCCCUGUGUUAUAUUAUAUUGUUAUAUUGUACACAUUAAAGAGGCAAGAUCAACCAAUAUUAACCAGAUUUAAAUUAUUUUAAGAGAGUCCACACACAAAAUUGCACUGAUUUGUACUAAACUGGUUUAAGAUCACACCUAUAAUUAAAUCCACAAACCUUUGUGCAUAGACCAUGCCUUAGCUUCCAAACUCUCUACUGUCAUAUUACACGAUAGACUGAGGUACUGAUUAUGCCACAGAUAAUGUGGUUGUUAAUGAUCAAGUUAAUGUUAAAAGCCAUUACUGUGUAUUGACAUAAUUCUUGGAACAUUAUGCCGGAGAAGUGCAUCUUUUGUGAAGCAACAAAAUGACAAAAUUGAAAUGUUAAAAGUUGAGUGCCUGAAUUGAGCGCCUGUGAAAUCAUUUAGACAAGAUCAUUGUUGUUGCUAUUGUAAAAGAGCUGGAGAACGACAGAAUGAGAGAGAGAGAGAGAAAACAACACCACACACUGGAGUAUCUUUCCUGGAGGAAGAUGUAAGGUAAAUAGGAUUCCUACUUGACUAUUCCCUCUCUCCAACCUGGAGGGUCUUCACCUAACAACAGAGCACCCUCCUCUGGUAGCUUGCCAAAGAUGAAAGCCUGCAUGGAGCUGUCUGGAGACUGGAAACUUUUAAGCAAGGCAGGGAAAGGACUCACUGCAGUCUAUUCCUAUGUGUUGCUCUAAUACAGGAGCAACAAACUUUGCCUAACUAAAGGCCACUUGCCCUAAACUCUAGGCAGUUGCACCUACCUUACAUAAAACAAGUAAAGGAGUGGCCAUCAGAGACUACAGACCCAGUGGGCAAUGUUCCAGGUUGGUCUGAGCAGCUGAGACCUGUGGUGUUCACAAGCUGCCCUUUAUAUUAAAGUUGAGGGCAGACAUAGAUCGCAUUAUAAAACUCCAUGAGCCGCAUGCCACCCAUGGGCUUCACUUUGCCCAUCUUUGCUUUAAUAAAACAUAAAAGAACACAGAAUUGCAGUAAUGGCUUAGCCAACAGACAGACUGUUAAACGCCUGCAGUGGAGGGACACUUUAAUGAGCAAUAUACUAUACAACAAGCUUGUGUUAAAACAUUGACCCACAACAUUUGGUCCAUAAAAAGAGUUACAUUCACAGAGACUCCUGGCAGUGAUAGUUUUAAUGCAGGAUCCGUGUCAUGGUGUAAAAUAAACAACUUCUGACAAUACAGUAAAUAGACAAAAGCAACAGCAGAAAUCUUUCCAUAUAAAACAAUGAGCAUACGAACAGCUACUAUUAAAUAAUGUUCAUGUUGUUAAACAAAAAAAGCACAAUGGCACAGUUUUAAUGUAGAAAAAUAAUGUAAAUCCUUUGACAUGUCAAUAAAACUGGGCACCUAUCAAGUUCUUGUGCUGGUGCCCAUUCAUGGAAAAAUAUUGAAGGACAUAUAUUGCAUGAUAUUUCUACUGUGUAGUUGCGAUCGGACCUGGGUUUGUGCUGUGCCAAAACUUUAAUAUUAUUGUAAUGGAGCUUUUGUUUGUGAAUUUUUCCAUGCCUUUAAAAAAAAUUCUGCAGAACAGAAAUAUUGUUGUAGAGUCAUUAAAUUUCCCACAGUGUUAUAAUAAGAUCAGAUCCAUUUUCUGCCAAUGAGUUUGGCUGUGUUAGCAGCAACAAGAUCCAAUAUAAUUAGGGAUAGGCAAACUCAGUCUGUAAUAUUCACUCCAUCUCAAACCUUUUAUUUUUGUUUUCAGGUCCGGAGGACUUAAUACAAGGACAUUGUGCCCACUUUCAUUUUCCCUCUCCUGAAUUCACAACACUUCUUCCCUCCAACCCUUCAAUAGACUGUGAAGACUUCACCACUCUUCCUCUUUGUAACCCUCUAAAUGGCCUGCAGAUUUUUCUGAUAGUAUUCUAUUUCUCUUCCUAUAACUCUCCAGUAAACCUUGGCACCUCCCCCAACGAUCAUUCAAUGUGUUCCCUGCCUCCUGUAACCCUCCAACUCAGAAUAUCCUGCUCUGGGUUCACUAGUCCCACAUGGUAUGGGAUCUGAAUUGCAGUCUGAGCACAUAAACAAAAAGUGCAUGAAAUUGGAAUUCAGCAGGGGCCAGGGCCAAUGUGUAGAUUCCUAGUAAUGCUAGAUUCUGCGUGGUAUCUACAAUGGUGGGAUGGAUGUUUUAAGGACAGGAACCUAUUUGUAGGUCAUAAAUUGGGAGAAAGAUAGGACCUAUAUAUCUGUCUUAUCUAUUCUUUUCUAAUAUGACCACCAGUAUAGUAUCAAAUUACGAUAUAGAUAAUUAAGCGAAACAUGAGUUCAUGCAGAGUGGUCCAUACUCUCUUCCAUUUUCUUAUGUUAUGCAGCUUUAUGAUGUGUUUGGUUUUUGUUAUCUUCUAGGAGAAGCAUUGUUGGUCUAUCCUGCUCUCUUAAUUGUGGAGGGAAGUCCUGAGCAGGGUGAUGUGCUUUGCAUUGUGCCCUAAAAAUAUGAAAAAGUUGGGAUGCAUCCUCUUCUCUGGACGUGUGAGACUCUACAGGCACAGGAAGUGCCCAGCCUCCACUCCUGAAGGUCUGAUCCUGGAACCAUCAGCCAUAAUCAUAGAUUCAUAGGACUGGAAGGGACCUUGAGAGGUCAUCUAGUCCAGUGCCCUGCACUCAUGGUAGGACUAAGUAUUAUCUAGACCAUCCCUGACAGAAUCAGCUGCUGCUGUGGGGCAUAUAGAGAGGGGCUAGAGGCUAUAGAGGCUUUAAAGAUGAGAACCAGAAUUCCAUAGCUGAUCUGGAAUUGGAGAGGAUGUCAAAGAGAGAUGCACCAACAUGAUGUGUUUUCAAUGGUUUGACCCACCUACGCAGAGGCCAGUAUGCUGUUCAUUCAGGAAAUAUGUUCUGUGAGAUCCUUAUUAUGGGGGGAAGUGAUAUCCUUAUUAUGGGGGGGGGGAACUUUUACAGGAGCCACUGCUGUUUGAAGUAUAAGUUUAAGUGGAGUCUUCGCAACGGCUGCCGCAAUUGACUCUCCCCUCCCUGCAGCCUAGGGCUGAGAAGCAGAUAAAAUUGUGAAGAGUAUCCCUUAACUUCUUACACGCACAAAAUACCUGAGAAGGGCUCUUCACUUUCAUUGCCUUUGUGCAACAUGAUUAUUCCUGCCUCCCCCAAAACUGUGACCUAAAUAUGGCUGAAAGACACAACAUGUGACCUGCUUAGUGCUGCCUGUCAUGGCCUGGAGCCACAGCAGGAACUCUAUUAGUGGGAACAGCACAGAUGCUACCAGAUGGCCAACAUAUUGUCCAGAGAUGACCCAUGUAUAAUUGCAGAAAGUUCAAUACAUUCAGGUUUUGAAUUUAAUUGCAUUGAUCACCUUAGCUACUGCUGCUACAUGAUUUAAUUUAUUUAAGGUGGAUACUUACUUUGAGAGGGAGAAAUCUGCAUGCUUUUAACUUCACAGAUUUUCUAUUCCACACAACGUAACAGCCCAAACUCUGUAUUUACAGAUGUGCCAAACUGCAUUCAGGUAGUCAAGGAAUAAUGGAGACUUACCCUUUCAUUUUCUGCAAUUGAUUUAGAUAAGAUACUUAGAAUCAAAUUCAGCAGAUUUUACUCAAGCAGAUAACCCACUGAAGUCAGUGAAACCAAACAAUGUGAAACACCGUUGAACUAAAGCUGAAACAAACAAAUGAAAUUAAUUACUUUUGAAGUGGAUAUCACCUUUUUUGAGCUUUAUGAGCCUACUUUUCUGAAAUUAGAAAUUGCCUGUGUGGAAUGUUUCUAGCUAAACUGCUUCAGACAAUUGCAGUCAGGCUAUGGUCCUGAUCCUGAGUGAAUCAAUGGGACUAUGCAUGUGAAUAAGGACUCCUCAUGUAAUGUUUGCUGGUGAAGGCCCUAAGCACCUCUCUAAUUGUAUGGAAGACUAUUUAACUUGUAAAACCUAUCAAGACCAGUUUGUACCAAAUGUGUGCUUAUGUCAUGCAUACACCUUUAUAACAAAGGAUGGAAUGGUCCACCUUAAUUUUAGAUAGGUAGUAGUUGCAAUUAUGUCAGCUACUUACAUUUAUUUGCAGGCAGUCAAUUCAUAUUGAUCAUAACUCAACCUUACAAUGACCUUGAGCAAAGGUAUUCCACGGCUGUUAUAAAUAUUGUGAUCAAUACUGGAGUGCAACUGACUACACCUAGUUACUGAUAAAUGAAGUAAAAAAGUACACUAUUUUCAGAAACAAAGAUAAUUGCUCAUUUAGUCAACUGUUUGCAAAGGUUUAAUAUUGAUACGUGAAGCUAUAACGACAUUCUUGGGCACUUUAAAAUUGUGGGAAACAAUACGGUGCAGAGCCAGUGUAGCAAAUUAAGGCAAAAGAAUCGUUACUUCCCCACUUCAAAUAAGAAAUUUCAUGAUAUUUAUGACAACAAUGCAGAUAACAAAUACAUUCACUUAGCAGUACUUGUUGGAGAUGGCUUGUAUCAAACUACUUCUUUUCUUUAUGCGUGAACCUUAUCUAGUGAAAUAAAACACCAUAUUACUGUACAUGGAACAAAGACUUUAGUACCACUUAUUUUACUCUAGUGCCACUUGCCUUUGUACAUUUGUGCCUGAAUUAAAUUGCACAUCCCCAGGUAUAACUAAUUGUAAUCAUGAGGAAGAGAUCAUUUUGGUCUCAGCACAUCUGCUACAUGUUGAUACAUUUCCCUACACUGACUAAAGUUAAGAGGAAGGAUGUUAGAGAAGUUUUCCUCAGUUGUUCCUUUCACUUUGAAUUCACUCAGAAUUCCACUGAGCAAUGCACUGGCAACUUAAACUGAGACAAAAUAGAAGUCCAUGGGCAAAAUGGUAACAGCUUGUGUUGCUAACUGAGAGACCUGAGCAUAAGAGCUGACCUCCUAGACACUACAUCCAACUGUCAAAUUCUGUCUGGGGAGACAUUUAUUUUGAACAAGGUAGACCUGCUUCUCCCCCAAAUCCACUGGUAUCUUUCUCAGACAGGCUGCUGUCACUACGACUGAUGCCCAGGGCUGAGAUGCUAAGUGCACUGGAUACUCUGGGGCAUCUCAGCUGUAGAAUGAAGUGAGAGCCAGUAGCACUUACAGCAGCAGGAUUGCAGGAGCAUUUCUUUGUCCCCUAUCAGCUACCCUGAUAAGCCACAGAAGUUUUCUUUUCCUUCCAUGCUUUUUGCAGUUCAACUUUUAUUUAAACCCAUUUUAUAAUUACAUCACAGGGUUUUUGGAAAUAGAUAUUUACAUCUGUGACAUACUUUACUAAAGACAUUAAUUAAAUGGUGAGAGAUGGUUAAUGCUCCUGAAAUCAGAAACAGGAGGCAAAACAUUCUCCAGAUCCAGACCUCCCAUCAAUCUCUCCACUGCUUAAAUGUUUUCCUCAUAUACUUACUUUUCUCUCUUGAUCCCUGGAGUUAGUAUGAUCAUAUUUCCUACACCCCAUACACUAGACUUUUUUGCACACUUAUGUUUUCUUUUUUCUUACAGUCAGGUCCUUCUCCCAGAUUCCUUUAGAUCUUACACACCAGUGAAGCUAUUUAUUAAGAAACCUGUGUUUUCAGAACAGCAGUACAUCAAUAAAUGACCGAGUGGUUCAGUUAGUCAGCAUUCUGGGAAAUCCUUUGCUAUAUUGAAGAACUGUAAAUCUCCAUUAUU
Molecule: long non-coding RNA, 8138 nt
Organism: Dermochelys coriacea (leatherback sea turtle)
Lineage: Eukaryota; Metazoa; Chordata; Testudines; Dermochelyidae
Exons: 5
Source: RefSeq, a predicted model, not a curated record